AACGUAGGACGCAAGCGUUAUCCGGAGUUACUGGGCGUAAAGGGCAGGUAGGCGGACCGCUAAGUUGGGUGUGAAAUCUCCCAGGCUUAACCGGGAGGGAGCAUCUGAGACUGGCGGACUGGAGGGCAGCAGAGGAGCGUGGAAUUCCGGGUGGAGUGGUGAAAUGCGUAGAGAUCCGGAGGAACACCAGAGGCGAAAGCGGGGCUCUGGGCUGCACCUGACGCUGAACUGCGAAAGCCAGGGGAGCGAACGGG
RNAcentral lists this ribosomal RNA (254 nucleotides) under uncultured bacterium. RNAcentral's name for it is "partial 16S ribosomal RNA". It matches the Rfam family "Bacterial small subunit ribosomal RNA", at positions 524 to 776 of the family's 1533-position model. The record is from RNAcentral.